Molecule: ribosomal RNA, 468 nt
Filed under: uncultured bacterium
Lineage: Bacteria
Description: partial 16S ribosomal RNA
Rfam family: Bacterial small subunit ribosomal RNA
Source: RNAcentral
GACGAACGCUGGCGGCGUGCUUAACACAUGCAAGUCGAACGGAAAGGCCCUGCUUUUGUGGGGUGCUCGAGUGGCGAACGGGUGAGUAACACGUGAGUAACCUGCCCUUGACUUUGGGAUAACUUCAGGAAACUGGGGCUAAUACCGGAUAGGAGCUCCUGCUGCAUGGUGGGGGUUGGAAAGUUUCGGCGGUUGGGGAUGGACUCGCGGCUUAUCAGCUUGUUGGUGGGGUAGUGGCUUACCAAGGCUUUGACGGGUAGCCGGCCUGAGAGGGUGACCGGCCACAUUGGGACUGAGAUACGGCCCAGACUCCUACGGGAGGCAGCAGUGGGGAAUAUUGCACAAUGGGCGGAAGCCUGAUGCAGCAACGCCGAGUGCGGGAUGAAGGCCUUCGGGUUGUAAACCGCUUUCGCCUGUGACGAAGCGUGAGUGACGGUAAUGGGUAAAGAAGAACCGGCUAAAUACGUG